This 253-nucleotide ribosomal RNA is filed under the name Faecalibacterium prausnitzii. RNAcentral's name for it is "partial 16S ribosomal RNA". It matches the Rfam family "Bacterial small subunit ribosomal RNA", at positions 524 to 776 of the family's 1533-position model. The record is from RNAcentral. Lineage: Bacteria; Bacillati; Bacillota; Clostridia; Eubacteriales; Oscillospiraceae.
AACGUAGGUCACAAGCGUUGUCCGGAAUUACUGGGUGUAAAGAGAGCGCAGGCGGGAAGACAAGUUGGAAGUGAAAUCCAUGGGCUCAACCCAUGAACUGCUUUCAAAACUGUUUUUCUUGAGUAGUGCAGAGGUAGGCGGAAUUCCCGGUGUAGCGGUGGAAUGCGUAGAUAUCGGGAGGAACACCAGUGGCGAAGGCGGCCUACUGGGCACCAACUGACGCUGAGGCUCGAAAGUGUGGGUAGCAAACAGG